UACAGAGGUCCCAAGCGUUGUUCGGAUUCACUGGGCGUAAAGGGUGCGUAGGUGGCAUGGUAAGUCGGAUGUGAAAUCUCCGAGCUCAACUCGGAAAUGGCAUUGGAAACUGCCGUGCUUGAGGGUUGGAGGGGGGACUGGAAUGCUUGGUGUAGCAGUGAAAUGCGUAGAUAUCAAGCGGAACACCAGUGGCGAAGGCGAAUCCCUGGACAACUCCUGACACUGAGGCACGAAAGCGUGGGGAGCAAACAGG
RNAcentral lists this ribosomal RNA (253 nucleotides) under uncultured bacterium. Its description in RNAcentral is "partial 16S ribosomal RNA". It matches the Rfam family "Bacterial small subunit ribosomal RNA", at positions 524 to 776 of the family's 1533-position model. The record is from RNAcentral.